Molecule: non-coding RNA, 1834 nt
Organism: Podarcis lilfordi (Lilford's wall lizard)
Lineage: Eukaryota; Metazoa; Chordata; Lepidosauria; Squamata; Lacertidae
Source: the annotation of a GenBank genome assembly
CAAGAAACCCCAUGCUAAAAAUACACAGCAAUUCAACAUAAGCAAGCAUUCCCAUUUCAGGAAAUUAAACCAUUAUCCUUAACUGUUUAUUCCUGGAUCUCUCAGUAGUCUCUUAGGAAGAGACCACUGCAUAGAAAAUGCAACAAAGCGUGUUGGAGAGAUUGCUUUUCUUCUCCCGAUUAUUAAUUAUAUUCUUGCUGCUAGAAGCUUAUUCCUUGACAAUUCCUUCUUGACAGUCCUCUCCCCAUCUUUAGGCAGGACAACUUGUUCCAAAGACAGCAGUGCAUGGAGAGAAAUAAAAGCAUACAGUUUGCUGGUUAAUUUAAAGGAAUAAGAAAGGUAAUUGGGCUUUCACUAAUAGCAAACAAAAUCAAUUUUUUGUUCCGUGAACAUACAUAAAUUCCAACUAUGAUAUGGGGAAAGGUUUACAAUAAGGCGAGGAUAUGCUCUGAUCAUGCAGAAUUUUAAAGGCAGUUAAUCCAAAGGAAGCCUCUGAGGAAUAAUUCACCAAUUGAUCUGGACAACGAAAUGGGACAUAGCAUAUGAAGUAUGAAAUAAUAAUGUGGAGGGUGAUGGUGAUGGUAGGGAGAUAUCUAAUUUCAUAGGCAGUACUAUUGUCUGUUGUUUUAGUUGUAUUUUCUGUUUCCAGGCCUCCUAGGAAAGUGGCAGACUUUCGUGUCUCAAAUUUCAGUGGUGCCCUGUGUGAUGCCAAAAUCUGGUGCUGUUGUAUGUCAAAGUUGCACACACACACCCCUCAGCACCCCAGAAGUUCCACACCUUGUGUGACCACACCAGUUGUACUCCCCUAGAUCCGCCUUUGCCUAGGAAAGCAGGUCACCAACCUUUGGGGGCCAGUGAGCAUAACUGGAAUUUUGAGAAAAUGCUGUGGGUACCAGUCACAAAAUGGUUGUCAUGGGGGAUGACACGUCACAAAAUGGCUGCCACAUCUGAGAGAUCAGGAUAAGAGACAGGACCACAAAAUAGUGCAAACACGCUUUCCCAUCAAUGAGGACUAGAGUUGCCACUAAACUUGCUCACAGAGACAAGCUCUUUGUUUGGACCAGAUUUGGGGUGGGGACUGCCAUCCAAGGAAAUGUAGGGCAUGUUUAAGGCAGCAUGUUCAGUGUAGGAUAGGCUAAGCCAGUGCAAAUAGGAACUGAGCAGGAAGAGCAAACAUUCUCUUGUGUGGUGUGGGUUUUUCAAAGGGGAUAUUUACCAAAACUUUUGCAGGCACCAUGUGGGGUACUGGUGGGCACACUGGUGCCCACAAGCACCAUGUUGUUGACCCCAAGUCCUAGGAUCCUACUUUAUUACAAACUACUGAAGCCUUUGGGCAGUCCAUGCUGGGGAGUUUUGACACAAUAGCUCCAUCUGUACAAGCAAUGACAGGAUACUAACUACAUCGUAUCUGUGCCAUAUGGGCUUGCUAAAGCCAAGCAGUCUGGCACUGAGGAUAAAAUGGCAGCUGGGGAGUGGGAGGGAAGCACUAUGGAUUCUGCCUUGAGUUCUUUCUAGGAAAGGUGGGAUAAGAAGUGCAAAAAGGAAAGCAAGGUUGCUGAAAGGGUUUUGGAGCAGGUUUAGAUUUAAGUGUGUGGAAGCCCUCAUACUGAUCUCAGAAUCAUGUCUUAUCUAUUUUCCAUUCCAAUUUGUUUAGAUAUGGAGGAGGAAAGGGAGCCCUAAACACAACCCAAGGAAGCCAAACUAUGAUCUGAACAGGACCCGUAUCUGUUCACAAGGUGAACACUAGCAUCAUUGAAUAAUAUAAUACACCAUGGUCGCUGAACUGGGUUUUCCCAGUAGUCCCCCUGACAAUUCGCACCUCUUAGAGUUUCCC